UUGUCUAGGAAAUAAAAGCUCCUGAAGAAGAAGAAAUGGGAUGUGCUCAUCAACACCGAUGCCACCGAAGCUCAAUGAUUUCUAUUUGAAGGAGGGGAUGAUCAUGCAAAUGUGGUUUAUCUUGACGAGGAGGAUGGGGAUGUCCAUCCGGGUACGGGGAUAUCAUGGGAUAUACUUGGUGAAGCAAUGGGAGCACAAGAGCAGCUCCAACUUCGUAGGAGUGCAAGAGUGAGAGACCUUGAGGAGGAGGAGUUUGAAUCUAAUGGUUGA
RNAcentral lists this ribosomal RNA (270 nucleotides) under Triticum aestivum (bread wheat). RNAcentral's name for it is "partial small subunit ribosomal RNA". The record is from RNAcentral. Lineage: Eukaryota; Viridiplantae; Streptophyta; Magnoliopsida; Poales; Poaceae.